RNAcentral lists this ribosomal RNA (429 nucleotides) under Chloroflexota bacterium. RNAcentral describes it as "Chloroflexi bacterium partial 16S ribosomal RNA". It matches the Rfam family "Bacterial small subunit ribosomal RNA", at positions 355 to 776 of the family's 1533-position model. The record is from RNAcentral. RNAcentral also lists the same sequence under 1 other name. Lineage: Bacteria; Bacillati; Chloroflexota.
UAGGGAAUCUUCGGCAAUGGACGAAAGUCUGACCGAGCAACGCCGCGUGAGUGAAGAAGGUUUUCGGAUCGUAAAACUCUGUUGUUAGAGAAGAACAAGGACGUUAGUAACUGAACGUCCCCUGACGGUAUCUAACCAGAAAGCCACGGCUAACUACGUGCCAGCAGCCGCGGUAAUACGUAGGUGGCAAGCGUUGUCCGGAUUUAUUGGGCGUAAAGCGAGCGCAGGCGGUUUCUUAAGUCUGAUGUGAAAGCCCCCGGCUCAACCGGGGAGGGUCAUUGGAAACUGGGAGGCUUGAGUGCAGAAGAGGAGAGUGGAAUUCCAUGUGUAGCGGUGAAAUGCGUAGAUAUAUGGAGGAACACCAGUGGCGAAGGCGGCUCUCUGGUCUGUAACUGACGCUGAGGCUCGAAAGCGUGGGGAGCAAACAGG